Molecule: long non-coding RNA, 1883 nt
Filed under: Sus scrofa (pig)
Lineage: Eukaryota; Metazoa; Chordata; Mammalia; Artiodactyla; Suidae
Description: lncRNA (ENSSSCG00045003647.1)
Source: RNAcentral
AGUUUCCGGGCUGCGCUCCUCUGCGUGGGAAAUUUAAACCAGUAGACUUGGAGUAAAUCAGACUGUCCUCCAUAGUGUGGGUGGUCCUCACCCAAUCAGUUGAAGGCCUUAAGAGAAAAAGACCGGAGUCCCUGAGGAAGGGAGACCUCUGCCUCCAGACAGCCUUCAGCCCCGGCUGCAGCACCAGCUCUUCCCUGGAUCCAGCCUGCCAGCCUGCCGUGCAGAUUUCAGACUUGCCAACCCCACAGUCACGGGAGCCAAUUCCUUAAAAUCUCUCUCUAGGAAAGGGGUCCUUUUCACCUUGGCACUGAUGCUAUUUGGGGCCAGGUAAGACCUUGCUGCCGGGACAUAUGCUGCGCUUUGUAGGGAGCCAGGACACACGCACGCGCUUUAAUCCUCAUAGCACCCUGGAGGAAGCUUGUGUUUUUGUUACCAGUUCAUGGAUGAGCAUCUAAGUUCAGGGAGGCAGGGGUGACACUGGGAACGUCCCUGAGCUCCUGGGAUUUUCCAGACCAUGUGCACACACCCCGUCCUCACCGAGGGUCCCCUCUUCCUCCCUCUCCAGCAUCUGCUCCUCCCGGCGAAGCCCCAGAGACUGAGGCUGAGUCUCGGCUGUCCGGUCAGGCCUGCUGUCUGUUUGGCAUGAAAGCGGGCGGGAGGGCCUUGGAGCCCUGGGCAGGAUCUGCCCUGCGGACACCUCUACCUUUACUUUGUAAUCAAACCUGCUCAUAGCCUUCCUGGCUGUGACAUUGUCACUGUCACCAUUCUCACUCCUUUCGGGACCCAACAGUCCUACCAUGUUUUCAGAGUCAUGGUUCCCAGCCCUGAGCGCGGCAAUGCGCUAUGCUCAGUGUUCAUGAAACGACACAGCUCGGUCCCUCCUGUCCCCGACUUGUCCUUUCCGUCACCCCCUAGCUGCCAUCACCUUCAGCUCCUCUGUGGCCCCAGGCACUUGGUCUGGGUCCACAACGCCUCUCCCGGGAGGGGCAGGUGGGACGAGGCCGGGGCUCAGAGGUGCAGUGUCGGGGUGAGGGCACCUUCACUGCCUUGGCUGUUCCCUGGGGGUCUCGCUGGGGAGCAAUCCCACCCUCAGCCAAACACCAGCACACCCACCCCGGUGCUGCCCUGCGAUCCAGCUGGAAUUGCAGCGGAGUUGCAGCAGCACAACUGAGCUCCAGGAGCCUCAGCCCGCAGCGCCUGGUCGCCUCCCCACGUGUCUGCCCGCCACCCCACCCCCGCUGUCCGCUACUGAUAGAAGCAGCAUCUUGGGGCCCACAGGGCAGCCCGAGGGUCUCGGGAAAUGUCAGGCUGCCCUUUGAUUCUGAGAAGGGAAAUUAAAGGAGAGAGAAGGGAGCAGGGCAAGGAAGAGCCUGGCACCUUGGGUGUGGGGGGGGGGGGGGGCGCAGCAAGGCUGGGCAGCCUUGGAGCUUUGCACUCACACUGUCCCCUCCUGGGGCAGCCCGAGGUCCAGAGAGACCACCCCCUCCUCACCCGGCACUGAAGGAACCAACUAGAGAUCCCUCCACAGAAGCGAGGGGGUGGCCUCAUGGCUGGGGGGGGUCGGGUGUGUGUUUUCCACGAAGCCACCACCAUGAAAGCCCUGUUGUGGGGUCACAGAGACAUAUCUCCCCAUCAGGCAGCGCCUAAAUGAGAAAACAAGUUCCCAGGUUGGCAUCUCAGCUCUGGGCAGACUUGACCUUUUUUGCCUAAUUUCAUAACGCCAAUGAAGACCUACUGUGUGCUCUGGAUGUUCCCUCACGAUGCAGAGGGUUAAAGAUCUGGCAUUGCUGCAGCUGUGGCAAAGGCGGCAAGGUGGUGCAGAUUCAGUCCCUGGUCCGGAAACUUCCGCAUGCAGCAGGCACAGCCAAAAAAAAAAAAAAAAA